GAUUAUAAAGCAUAGCAAUUCAUUGUUACUGAAUAGAAGUUUUUAGUUUUAAGUUG
Molecule: transfer RNA, 56 nt
Filed under: Hypsosinga pygmaea
Lineage: Eukaryota; Metazoa; Arthropoda; Arachnida; Araneae; Araneidae
Description: tRNA-Asn
Source: RNAcentral